Molecule: ribosomal RNA, 325 nt
Filed under: uncultured Erysipelotrichaceae bacterium
Lineage: Bacteria; Bacillati; Bacillota; Erysipelotrichia; Erysipelotrichales; Erysipelotrichaceae
Description: bacterial SSU rRNA
Rfam family: Bacterial small subunit ribosomal RNA
Source: RNAcentral
GAUGAACGCUGGCGGCGUGCUUAAUACAUGCAAGUCGAACGGACAAGGUCAGAUAGCUUGCUAUUUGACUGAGUUAGUGGCGAACGGGUGAGUAAUACGUAGGCAACCUGCCCCAAAGCGGGGGAUAGCAGUUGGAAACGACUAUUAAUACCGCAUAGGUAAUCGGGAGGCAUCUUCUGAUUAUUAAAGGUGCGUUUGCACCGCUGUGGGAUGGGCUUACGCUGUAUUAGCUUGUUGGUGAGGUAACGGCCCACCAAGGCGAUGAUACAUAGCCGGUCUGAGAGGAUGAACGGCCACAUUGGGACUGAGACACGGCCCAGACUCC